Molecule: ribosomal RNA, 443 nt
Filed under: uncultured bacterium
Lineage: Bacteria
Description: partial 16S ribosomal RNA
Rfam family: Bacterial small subunit ribosomal RNA
Source: RNAcentral
CCUACGGGUGGCAGCAGUGGGGAAUAUUGGGCAAUGGGCGCAAGCCUGACCCAGCAACGCCGCGUGAAGGAAGAAGGCUUUCUGGUUGUAAACUUCUUUUAUCAGGGACGAAGCCCGUGACGGUCCCUGAUUCAUACACCACGUCUACCUACGUGCCAGCAGCCGCGGUAAUACGUCGGUGGCAAGCGUUCUCCGGAUGUACUGGGUGUAAAGGGCGUGUAGGCGGGAGUGCAAGUCAGAUGUGAAAACUAUGGGCUCAACCGAGAGCCUGCAUUUGAAACUGUACUUCUUGAGUGCGGGAGAGGCAAGCGGAAUUCCGGGUGUAGCGGUGAAAUGCGUAGAUAUACGGAGGAACACCAGUGGCGAAGGCGGAUUGCUGGACAGUAACUGACGCUGAGGCGCGAAAGCGUGGGGAGCAAACAGGAUUAGAUACCCCAGUAGUC